CGUGCAGGCGGGAUGUCAGGUGUUGUGUGAAAGCCCCGGGCUCAACUCGGGAAUGGCACAGCAAACCGGCAUUCUUGAGGCGGGUAGAGGUGACUGGAACGACUGGUGGAGCGGUGAAAUGCGUAGAUAUCAGUUGGAACGCCAGAGGCGAAAGCGAGUCGCUGGACCCGUCCUGACGCUGAGACGCGAAAGCGUGGGUAGCGAACAGGAUUAGAUACCCUGGUAGUCC
RNAcentral lists this ribosomal RNA (229 nucleotides) under uncultured bacterium. RNAcentral describes it as "partial 16S ribosomal RNA". It matches the Rfam family "Bacterial small subunit ribosomal RNA", at positions 568 to 796 of the family's 1533-position model. The record is from RNAcentral.